Long non-coding RNA from Armigeres subalbatus, 2983 nucleotides. RefSeq lists it as uncharacterized. The record is from RefSeq and is a predicted model, not a curated record. The transcript is spliced from 2 exons. NCBI's taxonomy places the organism in Eukaryota, Metazoa, Arthropoda, Insecta, Diptera, Culicidae.
UCAUCAUGAUUUAGACAACUUACUUCGGUUUGAAAAACUAAAUACAUACACACUUAAAAUAGAUUUCGCUGUUCGGUAAUUUUAUUGACGAAAAACUUCGGUAAACAUGAAAAAUUACAGUCCGUUCGGCUAACAAAAUUAAAUUUACCGGAGUUCGGUAAAAUUUUACCGAACAAACUAUAAUUUCAAAAUGAUUUGACAGACUUCGGUAAAAUUACAGUUCGUUUUGUAAAAUCGUUUAAUCGCCGUACAUUGUAAAAUAAAUACCGAAAAAAUUACAAAACAAAUUCUGUUUUACAGUACUCCGGUAAAUCGUUGAACGGCGGUUGAACUGUCAAACUGUCAUAUUCAUUUUUGUUUAAGGCUCAAGACUCCAUCACAAUGUUUUGAAAAUUGAUGACUGUAUCACUUGUUUGUAAUAGUGAUGCAAUUGGUACCGGAAAGUGCAGCAGCGAUAAAUAAAAUGUUGUUUACAACUGGGGUGGGUGGAAAUGGGGUAGUAAAAAUAUGUCAGCUGAUGCAUAAUGUUGCCAGACUUGACGAAUUGUUUAUUUUAUAACAUAAGACAUGUUCAUGGUGUAUCAAAUAUAUGGGUAUUUAUCGGUUUAAUUUUUUUAUACACCACUUGGUAUGUAAUAGAAGCUUACGUAACAUGUUCAAAUAUUUAUUUUUGGUUUUAUUGUUCAAUCCGACAAACAGCAAUGAUUUUUUCCAAUAAAUAAAUCUGGCAACGGCGAAGAGAUGAUUAUUUUCUUGUGUAUGCACAUCUUUAUUUGCGUGUUGGCUGGCGCAAGUUUUUUUUAUGUACAGGUUAUCCGACUUCGUCAGUAGAUGGGAAUAACCAGCGCGGGGGGGAAACAUACAUUUUCAGCGCCAAACGUAAACAAACGAGCAUAAAUUCCAUACAAAAAUCCAAGAUGGCUGAGUUGGGGAUAUGACAAGUCGGAUAACCUGUACAUAAAAAAAUCUUGGGCUGGCGUAUACGUUGUAUUGUUCGGAUUGAAUGAAGUUGCAUCGCGUAGAUUUUGUACUCACCAUUUCACUUAUUGCGCUAGUGAAUUUGAGUCUUCCGCAUUUUAUUGCAUUCACAAUACGGUCGUCAAAUUUGUCUCUCACUUCGAUUUUUGCAAAACAGUUUUCAACCGUUUUUGGGCGCGAAGUGAAUUAAUUGGUAGUCAAGGUUGACGAAAAAUGUGAAACUCAGUUAGUGAAUAUGUUUUAGGAGUGAUAAAAUCAAAGAAACAAUGGGAAAAGAUCCAGUGAAAAAUCAAGUGAGUGUGUAUGUGUUAAAUCCGAACGUUCGAACGUUAGUAUGCGUUCGAUGAACAAACGAAUAUCGACCUAUAAAAGGCAGUUUUCAUCGUUUUUCCAACAAUUCCUCAGUAAUUGCUAGUUUUGAUAAGUGAAAAAUUAAUAUGGAAAUGCCAUGAAUAUAUUAUGAUAGAGGGUAAGUCCGUAAAUAGCCCCAAAAUAUUGAAUUUAGUUCAAAACUUUAUUAGUAUUAGUGCGGAUUUGAAUAAAAUCAUUGUCAUUAUCGGAUUGAUUACGGUUUAUAGAGCCUUAAUCAAAAUUUGUAUGCAGCUAGCUGCUGUUUCAAAGCUGUACGAAAAGGUUAAUAAUUUUUCAUUGAAUUCAUCGCGGAAAAACCCAAAUGUGGAAAGGAGAAAUGAUAACAGGUAUGUUACGUUCAUAAUCAAGUUAUUUGUAUUUCACAGCAUUAAUUUUAUUUCAGCUUCCUCCCUUGGCAACAAAUUACUGGGAAAUUUAGUCAUCUUGCACCGGAAUAAUUAUAAAAAUAUAUUGGAAUUGGAUUUACGUUCAUCGUUUGUAGCUAAGUAAUGCUGGUACACCAGUUGCUUCGCAUACUAAAGCUGAACCUGAUUUUCUCUAAAUCCAAUUUUGCUAAAAAAGGACAAUUAAAUAAAGAAGUCAUGCGUUUGAACUGCAAGCGUAUUUUAUUUGAUAAGAAUUAAUAGCAUCAGUUUUAUUUUUCCCAUUCAAAGCGAAAAAAACAACCUGUUUUUCGAAUUACCGAACUGUAUACGGUACUUUUUUGACAGAUCAUCAAAAACUAAAACUACCUAACGAUCAGUAAUCUUUUCAUUUACCGAACUGAUUACCGAACGUUCAGCUGUUGAAAGUUCGGUAAAAAAUUACCGUACACUGUAAAAUAUUCUAAGUGUGUACGUUAAAAAUAUUAAAUCACAAUUAAACUGAGACCUAGUUGAGUGAGUAUCAAAAUUGUAACGAUUCAGCUCAAACGGGGCCGCGGUUCGUUUCACCGCUCCCUCCCUCAACCAUUCAAAACCGUUAUCGACAAUUCAAAAUCAAGAUCAGGUUGGAUCUUGCAUGAUGUUCAAAGGAUUCUGCCUCGAAACUUUAGAAUCAAAACGAAGCCAGUUCAGAUAAGAACGGACACUCGCAACGAGAUUUUUAUUCAAAACGAAAACCGCACGAGAAAGGAAUAACAUCAGCUUAUCUGCGCUCCCCGUUGUCUGCCUUUAUGGCAGUUGGUGCGGACGCUCACAUGGCUAAAAGCAUGAUGCUGUAUAUGCUGAUGAGUUGAUACCGAGAUAUGAGCCUCGGAGCUUCAUUGGAAGACGACGACGAGGUAGCCUUAAGGGAGACAGCAAGGUGACCACCACCCUUUCUUCCCCAUGUUGACGAUCGCGAGUAGCUGCCAGGCUGUUGCCUUCUCUUUUCACGUUUCUGUUCAUUAAAACCUCGCGGUCGUGGUCUCCCCUUGCCAUGCUUAAAUGUUCUUUUAAACAGCAAAACCAAUAAAAUUAGAAUAAAAACAAUCCUUUCGUUAUGAUACUGUGUUGCCAAAUGGACAUAAAACCUCAAUUUUAACUUUUGGUCCAAAUCGAGGUUUCAUUUGAUCAAAGUGAUUUAAUCAUAGUGCAUACAUUACACAUUUGAUAUCUUCAUAUGAUUGAAAAGAUGGAAUAAAUCUGCCAUCACGGCUGAAGGUGUCCAGCAA